Molecule: long non-coding RNA, 682 nt
Filed under: Vulpes vulpes (red fox)
Lineage: Eukaryota; Metazoa; Chordata; Mammalia; Carnivora; Canidae
Description: lncRNA (ENSVVUG00000018716.1)
Source: RNAcentral
AGUGAUUUAACUUUACCUACAUGGCGACCUUCUCUGGAUAUGUAUCUGUUUCCUUCUCUUUCCCACAGGAAUUCUGCCAGGAGCAUUAUCUGAGAGCUUAUAAAAUAUUUCAUCUGUCAUGUUGGCGAACAAAGAAGGGUCUCUGGCUGUCUCCUGUACCCCACUGGAACAUUUCUCAGUCUGGUCAUCUCUUGCCUGUACUUUGGCCUUGCAGUCUUUUAGUGGAGAAAGCCUCCUGACUCAUAAGUCUUGUAAAGCAAGAGACCACAGCACUGAAGAUUACCUUUCAGAAAAGAGUGAAGGGAAGCUACAGAGAGUUGUGGCAAGCAACUCCUCAAGCAAACAACGUUGCUCUUUCCUGUCACCAGGCUUCGUGGAUAAUUAGAAGGUAUCCAUGAAUGUUGGCAUUUCCACAGCAGCUGUUGACUCAUUCUCAUGCACAACAGGGAAAAAUGCCUUAAUUUCUAAAGAAACAAAUCUUCACUACAAUCCAAUCAAAUGGAUAUGGAUUGUGACAGUCUACCAUGAAAUGACAAACAUACUUAUGAAAACUUCAGUCAUAUGGAUCCAAAUGAUCCCUGAAAACAGAGCCAGGUUCCAGACAUGCAGGCUUAAUGUACCUAAAAUGAUUGCAAUAUAGCAAGACAGAAUAAAGAUAAAAUAGAAUUUCUGAGGGUUUUCA